GGUUAAAUUUGAAUUUCAGAUGAACAACAAUAUUUUAGUAUGUGUGUGCCCCAUGCAACAUUUGGGACCUACUUACGCUAAAAAAAUUAUUCAUUGUGUAGCUGAAAUUCAAAUUUAACUGGGUAUCCUGUGUUGU
Molecule: microRNA precursor, 136 nt
Filed under: Chlorocebus sabaeus (green monkey)
Lineage: Eukaryota; Metazoa; Chordata; Mammalia; Primates; Cercopithecidae
Description: miRNA (ENSCSAG00000025994.1)
Source: RNAcentral